CUUUUAAUCAAUUGGUCGCAGGUUCGAAUCCUGUUUGAGUUGAGCGCAGCGAAACAACGGAGCCGCUCGCGGCGACGGCCCGAAGGGCGAGCGAAGCGAGUCAUCCUGCACGACCCACCA
This 120-nucleotide small RNA is filed under the name Escherichia coli. RNAcentral describes it as "RtT sRNA". It matches the Rfam family "RtT RNA". Rfam says of the family: This family represents a bacterial cis-regulatory element known as RtT RNA. The record is from RNAcentral. Lineage: Bacteria; Pseudomonadati; Pseudomonadota; Gammaproteobacteria; Enterobacterales; Enterobacteriaceae.